UUCCUAUCAAACAGUCACAAAGAAAAGAGUAAAAUAAUUAAGAUGGAGCCAAGUGGUUGUGAUGAAAUUCAGGAGAUAGUGAUAGUAGGUGGAGGCCUUUGUGGACUUGCCACAGCUCUUGCUUUGCACAGGAAAGGGGUAAAGAGUGUGGUAUUAGAGAAAUCAGAAAUAUUCAGAUCAGCAGGAGCAGCCAUAGGUGUAUUCCCUAAUGGAUGGAAGGCACUUGAUCAACGUGGUGUGGCUUCUCAUCUAAGAACUACUGCUCUUCCUAUUCAAGGGUUGCGAAUUAAAUGGAUGGACAAGGGCAAUGAAAAUUUCACACCAUAAAAGAAUAUGGGAGAGGUUCGUUGUCUAAAGAGGAGUGAUAUAGUUGAAACAUUUGCUGAUGCUUUGCCUCCAAAGACUAUACGUUUUGGAUGCGAUAUUGUGUCUGUAGAAAUGGAUCCUAUCACUUCCUUACCGAGUCUUCUACUUUCUAAUGGAAAGCGUAUUGGUGCUAAGGUUUUGAUCGGGUGUGAUGGAUGGAGGUCAAUAGUGGCAAGUUUCCUUGGAUUAAAGCCUGCAAAAACAUUUCAGACUUAUGUAAUCAGGGGUUUAACAAGUUAUCCCAAUGGUCACUCAUUUCCUCUCGAAUUUGUCCGUCUCAUAAUUGGCCAAACCGCAGUUGGGAGACUACCGAUCACUGAUAAGUUGGUACAUUGGUUUGUUGCUGUUCAACAGGGCAUAGAUGCCAAGUUUCCACAAGAUACACAAGUUAUCAAACAAAGAGCCAUUGAGGUAGUAAGUGGUCAUCCAGCUGAUGUACAAGAAAUGAUAGAAAAAUGUGACUUGGAUUAUCUGUCAUUUGAUCACUUGAAAUAUCGCGCACCAUGGGACUUAAUGUUUGGAAAUUUUCGGGAAAAAACAGUAACGGUUGCUGGAGAUGCAAUGCAUGUAAUGGGUCCAUUCCUUGGGCAGGGAGGUUCAUCAGGAAUAGAAGAUGCAGUGGUGCUUGGAAGAAACUUGGCAAAGACGAUUAACGGAAGUUGUUUUGAUCAUGAAGAGGCAUUGGAUCAGUAUAUUAAAGAGAGGAAAAUGAGGGUGGUAAAACUAGCAACACAAUCUUAUCUGACUGCCCUUCUUAUUGAAAAUAGACCAAUGCUCACGAAAAUUGUCGUCGUUGCUGUGAUGGCCAUUUUCUUCAGAAACCAAAGUGCUCAUACUCAAUAUGACUGUGGUCUCCUCUGCUACCAAGUGUUUUGCGCUUUUGUAUCCAUCUUUUGAUAUCUAGGACGCGUGUGUCUACUUGUACAACUUUUUACAAGUUUAAGAGUGAUCAACUGCAACAAUAGUUGCAGCUUAUUUAUUGUUCUCUGUUUAUAUGGGUUUAUCCUACCAUAAUACUUCAAUGAAUACACAACAACUAAUAUGGCCA
Solanum stenotomum is the source of this 1414-nucleotide RNA transcript. It is a transcript of the gene named monooxygenase 1-like, with no coding region annotated. The transcript is spliced from 6 exons. NCBI's taxonomy places the organism in Eukaryota, Viridiplantae, Streptophyta, Magnoliopsida, Solanales, Solanaceae. The record is from RefSeq and is a predicted model, not a curated record.